UGCAGACAAGCAGGCUGCUGCAUUUAGCACUUUACCUCUUGCUCACCCAGUCUUCUGUUUAGGCUCUGACCGGACUUGACUCAAAUGCCUGGCCCCUGUGACUAUAGCAGUUCAAUGACAGCAGCAUUUGCAUCUGAAAAGCGGAAUUGCCAGUCUGAGCUCAUGGGAGACUGUAUGUGCAUGCAAAGAAUAGUGAUAAUACCACAGUAGGGUGGCAUUCUUUACUCCCCUUUUCUCUUUUGCUAUAAGAGCACAAGAGUUGCAGAAAAUAAUGAAGUGGUCUUCUAUCCCUUUCAAAUAUAAGCCUUGGAAACGUCUUUCAGGAAAAUGAUGAGACCUUUUACUGUCCUCUGCUGUGACAGUCAUCCUGUUGAGUUAUGGUUCUCAGAUACCAGGGGAUGGUAACUGGAGGCCUCUGCCAGAAAGUGAGUCUGGAGAGUCUUGAAAACUAGUGAAGCUUCCCUGCACAGGCACAUUGUCUGGGAAAGAUGAGUGCUGUCACUAUAAGUGCUGUCACUGGGCUUCUCUUCAAGUCGUCUGGAAAAAGCCUUACUGAGAGGUUUGUUUGUACAGCGUCUGGCACAACAACAGCUCAGUUUUGUGGGGGAUUUUGCAGUGCUACAGCUACAUAAAUUGGAGAAGCUAAGAAGUCUAUAGCAUCCUGCACAUCUUUAGCAUGCCAGCUUAAAAAGAAAAAAAAAGUGUUGAUUUUGCAGACAAGCACAAUGAGAAAAGGAUUAUGCUAGCAGAAUAGGAUCCUAACACCAGCACACAAGCUGCCUCAUCAAACAACAUCUGCAUGAUUUAGACUUUUAAAAGGGAACAAGUUGGCCUUGUACCUACAAAUUAUUUUCUGGUGUUAGUGGGUAGGUAGAGUAGUGGGGAUAUAUAUCAUCUACAUGCAAAUUCUGGGCAGGCAAAUAUCUUCAGUUCAAACGACUAGCAAUUUUAUUCCUGUCUGGUCUAUCAAAUAUUUUACAGGAAAAAAUAUACGCAUGUUAAAGCAAAACAGCCUUUAUUUAAAAAGUAAUGUGAUCCAAAUGUGUCAUUAAACUGACAAACAGGUAUAAUUAAUACAUUUUAGGCCAGAUUCUAAGCUGGUAUGAAAUGGUAGAACUCAAUACUCAGGCCAAUUCAGUAUUCAGUGAUACUUUGGCAGUUUUACACCCAGGACUUGUUUUCAGCAUAUAAAACAAAAACAGAAUAAAAUCUCCAUAUCUGAUCUGUUGUUUCAUCAAAGCAUUUUCUUUCUUGCAGUCACUUUUGUUUAUGAUAAUUGUUAAAAGUUGUUACAACAACUGAAAGUCUACAAUGUUUCUGCUUUUGGGGGUCCAGUAGUCCACUUAAAACACUGGAUGUCCUAGGCGGAUGCUUCUGAAGGCCCAGUGCCAGCCUGUGGUGGCAGGGGUGGGAAAGGUCUUUUGAAAUAGGUAGACUUUAACCUCUCUGGAUCUGGGACCUGACCAUGUUGCAGUUAUCAGUUAAGAAAUCUAUAACAUGAGUUUUAGCAAUGUGGAAAACAGUUGAAUAGAAGAAAGGCUGAAUAUAUAACAGGUCUUUUUAAUCAGGUGGUUGGCUUUAAAAUAAACAAACAGAUAAAUGAGAAACACACAAAAAACCCAACUCUCCAGCACUAAGGCUUAGACUUUAUUGGUUCUUUCAGGAAAAAAAGUCACCAUAAAUUUCCUAUAACUUUUGGAAACUCUCUGUUGAUGUGAGAUAUUGCAGUCUGCUGCUGUACCUGUUGCUUAAAGCUAGACGAAGGAGGCGAGCCAGAGCAAUGGAGGACCAGAGAACUUCUAUGCUAGUGAACAAUGCUAUGGCCACAGUUUCUCAGGCUAAUACUAGGAGCAAGUUGGAGUCAGGUUAGUGUGCCACACCUGUCCUUCUGAGACUUUCUGUACUAGCCUGUGUUGAAGAGAGGCCUCAGAUAAGAAGAUAAUAGAAAUAGCAUAACUUUUUAAUUUUUUUUUCAAAAUAAGGUAUUCAUUGCUAUCUUUUCAUACUUUUUCACUUAAAGUUUUGCUUUGUUCUUAUAUAUGACACCCAGAAUUGGAUGCAUACUCAUUAUGGAGAGAUGUUGUCCUAAGAUUGUUACCAGAAAGCAAACAUAACUUCUCUAAAGACUUCUUUGUACCUGGCUGGAAAAGACUGCCUGCCUAGGCAUUGAUAUCUAUCAAGAUAUCUAUGUGUGAAAUAAGAAGAGCAAAUAAUCAGGAGAAAAAAGUACACCAUGUUUCUUUCCAGAAGUGCACUAUUGUGUACUUUCUUCUGUUACACUGUGUCAUUGCUAAAAAUAUCAAAAUCACUUUAACAGUGUAAUAAAGGAAAGAGUAGGUUGUUCUCCAUCAUAACAACCCUCUACCAAAGCAACUUUAAUUUUAUUUUGUACACUCGGAAGAAGUUAACUGGAUGUAGAAAGACAAGAUACAACCUGACAUUAUGUACAUUUGAAGCUAAUGUAAUAGUAGUACUAAAAUUGGUAUCCUCCUUAAAAUGUAUAUUUGAAAACUGUACUGUUCAGAACUGCUAUGUGACAGCUUAAAGUGUCUUUAGGACAUUGCUUUUGAUAAGUGCUUAUAGUCUGUGCUUUUCAUCAAGGUCUGCAAAUCCAUUCUGCCAUUAUGAAAUUUGAAAUCUAUGAAAAUAACAAUAAAGGAAAUCUAAACACA
This is a long non-coding RNA of Dromaius novaehollandiae (emu), 2672 nucleotides long. RefSeq lists it as uncharacterized. The record is from RefSeq and is a predicted model, not a curated record. Lineage: Eukaryota; Metazoa; Chordata; Aves; Casuariiformes; Dromaiidae. The transcript has 3 exons.